Molecule: long non-coding RNA, 255 nt
Filed under: Gossypium barbadense (sea-island cotton)
Lineage: Eukaryota; Viridiplantae; Streptophyta; Magnoliopsida; Malvales; Malvaceae
Description: long non-coding RNA (GBAR_LNC017091)
Source: RNAcentral
AAAACUCCUACGAGGCUCUAAUGGAACAGAUCUGAAACGAAACAGAAAUUAAAAGAUUAGAACUUUGAAUUUCCAGAUCUGGAAUAAAAAUCCCCAAACCAGCAAAGAAUCAAAUUGAGAAUAGGAAUAAGUGUUAAUAAAGGUUCUUGGGGAAUCAAGAACAUGUAAUUGAACCCCAAAGAAUACUCCAAUCUGCUGAAUCUGAAAAGAAAGACACAAACAGCAAGUUAAAUUUCCCCAAAAUUCCAGCAAUCA